Balaenoptera acutorostrata (minke whale) is the source of this 732-nucleotide long non-coding RNA. RefSeq lists it as uncharacterized. NCBI's taxonomy places the organism in Eukaryota, Metazoa, Chordata, Mammalia, Artiodactyla, Balaenopteridae. The transcript has 4 exons. The record is from RefSeq and is a predicted model, not a curated record.
GAAAAAGAUAUUGCUGUGAUUUAUGUCAAAGAGUGCUCUGCCUAUGUUUUCCUCUAGGAGUUUUAUAGUAUCCAGUCUUACAUUUAGAGGACCACAGAGAGGCGCAGCUGCACCCCCAUGAGAAACCACACGGACAGCCGCUUCCCCCAGGCCUCAUUCCACCAAAAAUACACUGGGUGUCUGCCCCUGUGUUAUGGUCAAGAUCGCCAUCUGCUUCCUGAGUUUCAGGAUCACAGCUGACAGAAGCGUAUCACAACCCCGCCCUGCAGCUGCUCUGGACCAGGAACCACAGAGGUCCAGACGUGGUAGCUGGGCUCGGCAGGGAUCUGAGCCUUGGGGGAGCCGUCUCACUUGGCCUAACUCUGAGGGAAGAAAGACAAAGUCUUCUAGGGACCAGCACCGUACCGAGGGCUGGUCAGGGAAGAAGGUUACAGGUGUGCGCGUGUAUAAUUGAGACAAUAGUAAACAAACGGUUUUCCAUCUUGACUCUCUCGCUACAGAGCAUCAAGACUACAAAGAUACCUUCAGAAAUAUCACUUGUAUUAUAUGCUGGAUUAUAUUUAAGAGGACACCACAGUUUAUCCUCUGUUACUGGGCAUUUGAAUUGUUCCCAACAUUUUGUAAUAAAAAAACUGUGUUGACCAUCUGCGUACAGGGUGCUCAAAACACUUCCUGAAUGAGCAUUGUACACAAAUCUUUGAUUGGAACUCUGAUUAUUUCUUUAGAAUAAAG